RNAcentral lists this ribosomal RNA (509 nucleotides) under uncultured bacterium. Its description in RNAcentral is "bacterial SSU rRNA". It matches the Rfam family "Bacterial small subunit ribosomal RNA", at positions 791 to 1307 of the family's 1533-position model. The record is from RNAcentral.
UAGUCCACGCCCUAAACGAUGUUGGCUCGGUAUCUGGCUAUAAGCUGGGUGCCCAAGGGAAACCGAUAAGCCAACCACCUGGGGAGUACGUCGGCAAGGGUGAAACUCAAAGGAAUUGACGGGGGCCCGCACAAGCGGAGGAGCAUGUGGUUUAAUUCGAUGAUACGCGAGGAACCUUACCUGAACUUAAAUGGCGAACGACAGUCGUGGAAACAUGACUUUCUUUUAGACGUUCGUCAAGGUGCUGCAUGGUUGUCGUCAGCUCGUGCCGUGAGGUGUUGGGUUAAGUCCCACAACGAGCGCAACCCCUAUCGUUAGUUGCCAUCAGUUAGGCUGGGGACUCUAACGAGACUGCCUGCGCAAGCAGUGAGGAAGGCGGGGAUGACGUCAAAUCAUCAUGGCCCUUACGUUCAGGGCUACACACGUGCUACAAUGGCAGGUACAGCGGGUAGCUACCACGCAAGUGGAUGCUAAUCUCUAAAGCCUGUCUCAGUUCGGAUCGGAGUCUG